GGGGGGGGGGGGGAACGAGAAAGAGGGGGGGGGGGGGGGGGGGGGGGCGAGGGCACCGGAGAACGAAAAAGAGGGAGGAAGGGGGUCAGCCAGGGCCCGCUUCAGUGGGGUCCCCACCACCUCCUCCCCCCACCGGGGGGCAAGAACCGAACUGUUUAUCCCCACAUCCCGGCAGCAGCAGAAAAGCCAGGGGUGUUUUUGGGACUCAGCUGCCAAAGUUUCUUGAAACAGCUCUGCUCCAAGGCAUAUGCUGGGCUCACUUCUGAGGGAAAUUUCCUUUUUGGGGAAGUUGAAGCAAAGGAAUUUCCUGUGUGGGCAGACAGAGCUUCCUGACUUGAAGGCUUCUUGGAAGGGAAACAGUUUCAUAAUGAAAUGACAAAUUAAAGACAUACCAGCCGGGUUCACUUCAAAACAGCUAUUGAGAGUACAGGCAAAGCCCUAUUAUACUCCCUCACAGAACAAAAAUAAAUCCCAUCCUGACAGGUUUCUGUAUGCUGGAUUAUAUCCGUCCCCCCCCCGCACCUUCCUUCACAGCCCCUGUUCCUCUCCCUUCCUCCCACCCCCGCCAUUAGCCGCCGCCAUCUCUAUCUUUAACCGCUCCCGGGAGCAGCCGGCAAGGAGGCUUGGAGCAUCUCUGGCCGCCUCGCUCGGUGGCUUCGCCCGUCCCUGACCUACAUGGAGGCCUCAUAGGUCACGUCACAGCCCCCGUGCUGCUAAGACUCCCAGAAGCGACCUCUUUCCUUCCCCCUCUGACACAAACCAUGAUUGAAGAUGGCUUUAGCGACGGGUGGAAAAGACCAGGAGGAAGACUGAUGGCAGCAUCGUUUGCGGGUCAGAAUUCAUUAGUCUUAGGCCAAUGAAGGGAAGCGGUGCAGGUUUUGGAAGCAGAUGUCUGAGUUCAAAUGCCAGCUCCAGCCGUGUGCGACCAGCAGGCUAGACCUUGGACGAGUCAUUACACUUCUGGCCUCAGUUUCCUUAUCUCUGAAAUGGGUACAGCAGAACCUUUUCUACACUGUUGUGAGGAAAUGAGAAUGGGAUUUCAAAAACACUUUGUAAACUCCUCCAAAGACUUUUCGAAAUGGCACCUGCUACUUAGCCAUGGUUGGGAUCUUUUGGGAUUGAAAUGCAGGAUUGGGUUGAAAGAACAAACUUGGAGAAUUUGUAGAUCAAUUUGGCAAGUAUUUAUGAGAGAUUUUUCUGUGAGUGCAGCAUGCUUGGGCUCUGUGGGGAGAAACAAACGAAGUACGAAGUUUAAAGCAGCCGCAGGAAGAAUCUUGGACUUGGGGUCAGGAGGCCAAGGUUCAACCCUGGCUGUCACUCAGUAGCUCUGUGGCUUGGGGUGAACUAUGCAACCUUGAUGAGUCUCCAUUGUUUGUUUUUAAAAUUGGGGGAAAUAGACUCUAUGACUUUAAUAAGUUCUGUCCAAUUCUGACAUUGUAUAAUUGAUUUUAAGAGGUCUCUGCCUUUUGCAGUUGUUUAUAGGAUUUAUUCUAAAGCGCAAGGAAGAACUAUUCACUGUAUAACAGCCUGUCUGAUGAAGAAACUUGCAUCAUAAUUUUUUAUUAGUAGAUCUGAUAUACACAGGAAAAAAUGAGUGCUUGCUAGAUAGGUCAGCUAUAGCAAUUCGGUUUGGGGUGUUUCUGAGUGAAUGCUGACUCAAAAAUAAGUAGGAUCGUGGGUUGAACAUGGCGCUUUCUCUAAGAUAACUUGUCUCGGGAUUUUGGUUUACCUUCUCUCAACUGCGCCAGGGGAUUCCCAGCAUGUUUCCAAAUGGUUGUUCGUCGAAGCCAUCCCCAUGAUGGACAUCCCUUGCCCAAAUAGGCUUCUAGGAUAGAGGCCACCAUGUUGACUGGUCCUGACAUCAGGUUUUAGCAUGAGCUGGUAUGUCAUUUUUAGGCCCGCCACAUUAUUCUCCUUCUCAUUUCAGUUUGUAUGAGUAAAGGUCUUUUACUGACUUUGCCUCAUAGCGUGUUUUCUCAGCACCCGUGUCGAUUUGAGAAAACUGAGGCACUGGAAAAAUUAGAUACCACGUAUAAAAUCACAGUUGCAAAAUGGUGACAAGCCAAGCGUUGCGUAAAAAGAGCUGUCAUUUAUUGGGUGUGUGUUCCAGUGUUCUAAUACAUUGUCUCAUUAAUUUUUUUCUCCCAACAAGUCUGAGAGGUAGGCGAUAUUAUCUUUACAGAUACAGAAACUAGGGCUUUGAAAUGUUAAGUAAUUUGCUCCCGGCCACAGAACUGGUUGGUGGUUGAGCCAGAAUAUGAACACAGGUCUGUCUGUUCCAGAACCUCCGUUCUUUACCCCUUCAUUGCGUCUCCUCUGUGUAGUCAGUUGUUUUAAAUUGACCUCAGUGCUUAGAAGUAAGUCACACCUGUCUCAGGCCCCUGAAAGAAAACAGCACUAACCUCGUAGUCUUGUCGUGGCAGACUCUUGUAACGGCAGAAAAGCCUGUGGAAAAUAAUACACCUGGGUAAUAAACUGAGCAAACAACCCUGCCUCUCACCUCUGUCUGGAAGAGAGCCCGUACUGGCCAGCUCUGGCCACACCUUAUGCAUCAGGACAGAAAUCUGCUGUCCGUUUUUCAGAUAGGCAAGGAAAGUGCCUGGUGCCAGACUGCAUCCUUUUCCUUGUGCAAUUCCUUGCAAGGGCUGUUUGUGGCUUCCCCGGGCUCGUUGGGAAGAGGAUUCAAAUCUUGUUCUACUCGACAGGCAUUGAUUGAAGAACCACCGUGCUCAGUGCUAGGGACACAAAGAGGCGCAAGGUAGGGACUCAGUCUUAGAAAGCAGAAAUUGGAAUAGUCAUUCAACAAAACCAGUAUUUACUGAGAAUCCACUGUGCCCAGUAGAACAGUAAUUGCAAGAGAUAAAUAUCUAAAACACUCACAAGGAUAUGUUUUACAUCUCCACAGAAAGUAUGUGUCGUCGUUGUUGUUGUUUUUCUUGAUUUCUGUUCGGUUUUCUUAACUUUCCUCUGUGCAAGUAAACUUCCAGGGUAUGUCCUCUUGUUUAAGUCCAGAGCUUUAUUAGUUUUCAUUUCUUGGACUAUCGUGUAAACAGCUCAGGAACUUCUCCUCUUCACCUCAUUUUUCUCCCCCCAAAGAAGAUGGAUUUUUUUUCCAUUGAAAAUUAUUUUUCAAUGAAGUCUAAAAUAUGUUUUAAACCCACUUCUGUUUAAAACACAGAUAUCAUCCAGGAGAAAAUCUGAGGGCAAAAAAAAAAGGGGGGGGAGGAUUUUGAUUGCGCCUAAUUAGACUCAAAGUACUAAGUUAUUCUCUGGUGUAUGUAGCAAAAACACUAGGUGGGUGUUGUUUUGAGUUCAUAGUGAGGGGAGAAAUGGGGUCAUCACUCCUGCAGAGAGAAAGGUAAUCUCUGAUUUCAGUCUUUCAUUGGCCUCCGGCAGCUGGUGGGGUCUUCCGAAACAAAUUCUUUUUCUUCGUUACUCAGUAUAUUCCCCAUUUGGGCUUGAAGCGGGAAACCCGAAAGUUGAAAUGCUGUGACCACCUCUACACUGUCACAUGCCCUUGCUCUCUGGUGAGGAAGUGGGGGAGACGUGGAAGAGGUGGCCUCAUCACUCGCUUUGUUUGGAAGUGAGAAGCGGCGAGGGGAGGAUUGGAGGAAGACGCGGGCACUCGCGGCACCGCCGCCCUGCGACACCCUGGCCAUUCCUCUUCCCUGGCACUCACAGGCAGCUUUGCGAGGCAGGAGUACGUGAGGAGGAAGAUCCUAUUAGCAGAGGAGCUGCAGGAACUGAAGAGAUGCCGAAGGGAGCCAGGUGACUGACAGGUAGAUGAAAUCCAACAUCCUUUCCGCUCAAAGUUUUAAGAAGAGAAGUGGCCACGAGUAAGCUUGAGUUCUGUCCCCUUCCUGAUACUCGCUGCUCCUCAGACCCAGGUGAGGACGAUGUACUACACGUAAGCAAGCAGAUGUGGGGAAAAGAGCAAAACCCACUGAGCCGUGAGAUCCCUAAGACCCUCCCCCCCGCCCCCAGGCCUUGGAUGUUGGGGGUUGACAGCGGCUUCCUGUGCACUGUACCAUGGAGACCACAGGUGACGGAGGCAGUGGCCCAGCUUAUGCUCUGGGCGUGCAGAGAAGGGAAGCUCCGCCUCCUUUGUUCGCAUCCUCCUUGUUGGAUGCUGGGGUAGCCUCUGCCCCUCUUACAGGACAACUCUAGGUCUCCGUGUGAUCCUGGCCCAGCCUGAAGCCUGAGGCUUCUGAACACAAACAUCCUAGUGCUGGCCUUCCUUGCAUGACGCCCAGGAAUCCCUAGUGGGGAAAGCCAUGCCUCACCACUGUCAACCUAAUGAUAGACCAAGACCCCUCUUCCCUCCACCUGCCCUCCUAAUAAUCUUAAGAUUUAGGGGAAACUAAAAUAGACCUUCCUCUAGACCGACACUGCCGUUUCACAUACAAAUGUAGCUCUCUUUCACCCUGGAGAAAGACAGCCUUUUCGACUUCUCUGCACCUCCCAGAUGGUCCAGCAGAUUUGCAUGAGACCCAGAGUGACACUGACGUGCUUUAACUGAUGAGCGACGUCAAGCCUGUUUGUCUCUGCCGUUAGAGACUGAUUUGACCCCCCACCUAUAGGAACUCUAGUUUCUGAGAAUGUGGCAAGGCUUUGUAGAGAUCGACCCCAACCAAUGCUUUCACACUUCACAAUCUGAGUAAUGAGCCGGAUACUCCUCACGUUUUACUUUUGGUUCUUUGUCAAAUAAGGUAGUAACAGAGUCCCUAACUGUAACAUAGGGAGCCGUAGCUACAUGUGAACUUCGUGGCUCUAAAAUCUUGAGAUACCGCUUCCUUACCUCCUUCCUUGUCAACGAGUGUUUAGAUUUUUAAUGACAUUUCAAAGUCAAUCUCCAAACACUUUAGAGGUCAAUCCUAGCAGAGACGAACUUUAAACUGGUGGGAGUAGGGUGCAGAGCAAUCCCUCUGGGAGUCAGAAUGAGAUACUUGUGUGUCUGGACUGGUAGCAGGUUUUUAUGUUACCAGAGUGAUCUCCAUGGUAACAGAUCAACAUGGUACCAGUGACAGCUUUACACUCCAGGCUUUAGGUUCCCAUGAGAAAGUGGAUUCUUAACAACAAAUAGGGGAGCAGAAACGAAGGAAUAUGGAUGUACGUUCCCCUUUCUUGUAAAGUUCUGGUCAUGAAGUUUCUGUUCAUACAACCAGUGACAUGUCCUCUUUAACCCCCUGGGUUCCUCUGUCAACCAAGACUCUUCAGAGGGUGUGCAAUGUGCUCUUGAAUUUCAACUGAACUCAUACCAGGUUUAAAUAGGCUUUGGUAGCAAAGAAUUAUAUUGGAGUGGAACAAGAAUGAGACUUGGAGUCAGGAAACCUGGCCUUCAGACCCAGCUUUUGUACUGUCUUGAAGGUCCUUACUUGCCACAUUCUUAGAUUCUCCCCAGUUAUGAUAGUCAAUCAUCCAGUUAUAUGGAAAGCCCCUGGUGUGAUUCAUUGGCGGUAAAAAUGGUAGCCAGUUAAAUAGAGGACAGUCUGCCAUCCCCAUCCCCAUCAAAGGUAUGAUACUGUUGUGAUCAUGUGGAUGCAAACGUUCAGACACCUAAAAAGUAGAAGGUAGGAGUCCUCUUUAUUAAAGAUUAAUCUCUGAACUUAACGACCAAAAUCUGGAGGCUGGAUAGCCAGCAGAAGAGUUCAUUUUCUGGAGUGUUGGUUACAAAAGGUUAUUAAUUUGGAGAAUCAGCACUCGUUUAUCUUAAACCACAAGAGAACAUUUGUGAAUUCAGGGGAACAAUUAUGUAAUUUGGUAAUUUCAUGAGCCUCUUCCCUGGGGAAUCUUAUGACUCAACGAUCAAAGGUGUCAGAGUAGAGAAGACAGCUUUCCAUGGUCACAUCUGUGCCCGUGGCGGGGCUUAGGUACACUCUGAAGUGAGAUUCUUUGUGGCUGAGACCUCGGACUGAUUGGUGAUGGGUGGUUUGGGUAAUGGUUUCUGUUGUAUACAUUUAAAGGGGACUAGUCUUUCCCCCAAAAGGGAAGUUUCUUUUCUAAGGAAUUUAUUCCUAGGGUUGUGGGGGAGUUAAACCCACUGUGCAUCAAGGAAGUAACUGAUUGCGUAUUUCGUAUAAAAGGCAACUAUGAACUUGAUAUUGACUAAAGCAAACCAGCAGCUUCUUUCUACCACCUGGUUAGAACGUUUCUUUACUAUACUUUGCAAGAUGAUAAAGGACAACCAAGGUGCCUGGGUGGCUCAAUCGGUUAAGCAUCUGAUUCUUGAUCUUGGCUCAGGUCAUGAUCUUGUGGAUCGAGCCCCAAGUCGGGCUCUGAAUUGACAGCAACAGAGCCUGCUUGGGAUUCUCUCCCUCUCCCUCUCUCUCUGCCCUCCCCCACUCAUACUCGCGCGCGUGCACAGACAGUCUCUCAAAAUAAACGUAAAUAAAAAAGGACAAGUAAUGGUAGUGCUAAGCUUCUCUUGCAAUUCUCUGUGGUCUAUCUCUAACCAAUGGAAGUCUAAAGAUUUUUAUUUUAGGAUCAUAAUGUUGGAAGAUCUUUAGAUUGCCCAUAUCAUAAUGCCACUUCUAAGACUGGUUUUAAGGUUUCUGAUCAUGAUUUAAGUAUGAAAAGUCUUGAUCUUAUUUCCUUUGUCAUUUCUAGGUCUUUUUAAAAAAAUUUUUUUAAAUGUUUAUUCAUUUUUUGAGAGAGAGAGAGAGAGCACAGCAGGGGAGGGGCAGAGAGAGAGAGGGAGACACAGAAUCUGAAGCAGGCUCCAGGCUCUGAGCUGUCAUCACAGAGCCCAAUGUGGGGCUCGAACCCACGAAUGAUGGGAUUAUGACCUGAGCUGAAGUUGGAUGCUUAACCUACUGAGCCACCCAGGUGCCCUUGUCAUUUCUAGGUCUUAAAUUUACUUUGUUGACAUAAAAAGAAUUUUUGUUUAGCUUAGCAAAAGUUAAAAGAGCAGUAUAUAUCUUUUUUUUUUUUUUUAGUUUUUUAAUAAAGAUUUUUUGCCUGAGAAUCAACAGUGUUGGGACUGUUUCAGUUGAAAAUGGAAAUGUUCUUGAAGUUAUAUCAACAUGGACAGGACAGUGAGCUAGAAUUUUAGAGCUUGGUUUCCUGACUGUGCAGUUUUGGUUCUAGAACAUUAGCAUUGUCUGAGUUCAAAUGUAAAUAGACAUUGUUUUGUUGUUAUCUGCUGGUUUAAAUUUUCAUUCGGCUUGUAACGAAGAGAUCAUUGAUCGCCCUGAACGCUUUGAAAGGAGACUAGACAAGGCUCAGUCCCACUGAGCUGGUAUCCAAAGCAACUUUUCUCAUGUUCUGGCUUGUAGUACUUUCAGAAAUAAGGUUUUAGGAGAAGAAGGAGGGCAUUUGAGGAAAACAGAGCAUAUUUAUAAGGAGAGCAUACUUCAUUCCCUUCAAAACACAAACAAAUGAAUAAACUGGGGGAAAAAAAAAAGAAACAAAACACCGAUCCGAAUCCCAGGAGUGGGAAGGGAACCCACCCCGUGGCUUCCGUUGCAGACACUACUGUUGCUGGGGGUGCAGCAGGAUGCCUUUGACCCGAAAGUCGGGGAGAGGGAACAUGGCCUGCGUGCUGCCGUGCCCUUGGUUGACCAAGGCUGCUGGUGCAGCCGCAGAGAAACGAGAUAGCGUGGGGAGAACGGGGACACACGGUGUGUCAUGGGAAGGAGGGCAGACCUGGAGCCCAGACAGCUGAGGGCAAGGGACUGUUGGGGCAGGACCCCAGCCGCAAGGCCGAUGGAAGUUGGCCGAUCUCAGAGAUCUCAGAAAGGAGAGGUGUUUUGUUUGUUUUGCUUUUGCUUUUAGUGGAAGAGGGAGUUGAAUGAGGAAGGAGGGUGGGAAGCUUCAGGGCAGUUUUGUGUCCAAGGUUGAGAGAUGUUCCUCCUGGUAGCAGAAUGCCAGGCUUUCAUCUUGUCCUGCAUUGUGGCCCCACUGCCUGGGGAACUCCAUCAACAACCCACGUCUUAACCACCUAGGAGAGUUUACAAAUGGGGCAUGGGGCCUUGUGCAGACAGACCUCCAAGAGUCAGGCACUAGGUUUGGGCCAGCUUGUGGACUCUCCUUCGUAUCACUGCAGUGCCCUGUCCAUCUGCUUGCUCCAGGCCCUGCAGGCAUGUGAAAUGGCAGGGUCAUUCUGUACCUUAGAAUGUGUGUCCCCAGGUCACAUUUAUCCCUGGAGCACAUUUUUCCCCCUCGUGGUAAAGAAUUAAAUGUAAACAGGGGCGCCUGGGUGGCUCAGUCGGUUAAGCGUCCAACUUCAGCUCAGGUCAUGAUCUCGUGGUUCACGAGUUUGAGCCCUGCGUUGCACUCUGUGCUGACAGCUCAGAGCCUGGAGCCUGCUUCAGACUCUGUUUCCCUCUCUCUCUCUUUCUGCCCUCUCUCUCUCUCUCUCAGUUUCAAGAAUAAAUAAACAUUAAAAAAAUUUGUAUAAAGAGUUAAAUGUAAACAAAUGGUGUUCAGCUGUCCCCUUAGCUCAUAAAAACCCAUAUAUAACUCAUAUUCUGUCUGAAAUAUAGUACAGGUAGACCUGUUUCUACUAACCACCUUUUCUAGCCUAAUAAUUAAUCUGGCAAAAUGCAUGUAGAUUCCAACUGUGGUUCAGCAAGGAGGAGCGCAUCAUAACCACUGCCCUGCCUCUUGAAGGAACUUGGGAGAAAAUGAACAACUGGUAACUUGUUAGCUAGCCUCUGAAUGAGGGAGAGUGCUGUUUUAGACAGGCCCCAGGAAUCCUGAAUGAUGCGGGAGAGGACUGUGGCCCCAUGGGGGCAGGCUAGGGAAUUAUCCAUCCCUCUUCCUCUGAAUGGGUCACAACGGAGUGUCUCAUCAGGAACUGUGUGUAUAAAAACAUGACCUCUGCAGAUUUGGGCAUGGCUAGAUGCCUUCGCUGCGUGCUGUAUCUUUAAUUCCUAUCCAGGCGCAGUCUCAACCUUGCAUGACAUCUUGUAGCAGAGGGCAAUUUGUUUUCUCCAGUCAAAUCUAUGAUUUGAGAAUGUGGCUGUUAAUGAUUGAGAGUACAGAAAAACGUGGGGGUCCAGAAGGGUAAACCUGAUUCCCAGGACUGUAAACUUGGGACUCUGAACUGUGGAUGGUGGCUACAAAAGUCCUGGCUAAGGCAGGGAGGCUGAUAGUGGGGGGCAGUCUCCUUCACUGGGAGACUCCAGGUUCUAAUCCUGGAAAGUUAAUUGUGGAAGAAAACGUAGCCAGUCACAACAAACAAUUGCCAGACUUAUCUUGUGGCAGGCCCUGUGAUGAGUGCUGGAGUUACACGUCGAAUAAAAUAUGGAUACUCCUCUUUAUGACUUACUAAAAUGUUUUUAUGUGAGUUUGUGUUCGCUUUUCCAGCAAAUAUGAACUGAGCAGCCAUCAUGUGCCAGGCGGAUGCUAGACAAUGUGGAAACUUCAGUGAACAGGAGCAGACAUGUUGUCCUGUUAAUUUGUAGAAUUUACACUCCAGAGGGGUCUCUACCCACCCUAUCAAAAUAUGUACAGAAGACACUGUCACUGCCCUACUUCUGAGUCUGUGCUCAGGUCACUCCCUGAGUUGAGUCUUUCCACAUUUAUAAAUAUCCCUAUUGUGGGAGCCACUGAAAAGGACAGAGGAACCUGAUAAGCCAGGCAGGCGGAGCACCCAAGCAGUGGUUUGUGAACAGUUAGUGGGGCAGCCAGAGUUCCCUGCACCAAGCAUUAUGUUUUAUGUGUGCACAUCAGCGUGUUACUGAUUGCUUCCUUGUGCUGAUCUGUUUUUAUUUCCUGUAGCUCUUCAGGUCUGUCCAAGCCAGUAUGAUCUAUCUUCUACUAAUGUUUCUGGAGUUCUAGGGAGCUGUUUAAUGCACUUUCUUCUGCAUCUGCCACAGCAUCAGGCCCCACGCCCACUAACCAUGCUUGAUGGUGAUGCCCAGAGAUGAUGGUUAUUACCAGCCCUGGGUUUGGAAGCCAGUCUACCAGUGAUGGAACCGUCAAGGCUCAGCCUAGGAGCUCAUAGUCACGUGGGAGAAGGAGCUCAGGACCACGUGCAGGAAGCUAUGGGGUGAUGGAAAUUGAUUUCAGGUACUGAGGUAAAUCUCCAGUGAGGUGAAGACAAACAGGUCAGGACAAAGCCCUUAUGUCAUAGCAGCACUACAGAGUCCCAGGGUGGGGACCUGACUUCUCCUUUAGACUGAGCAUUGAAAUUAACUUACCAAAGAACAAAUACUGGAAGUAUGUACUUGAAAUGAUAACAUACAAGAUUUUGGUUUUUUAGCUGGCAGAUUUUUUUUUUAAUGCUAAUUCUCAAUUCAGACUAGUUGGUGGGGGGGAGCCGGGCCCAUGUAUUCAUGCUUGGCACAGGUAGGCAUAACAGAUUCGCAACAGCAGCUCACGCAAGAGGCAUGUAUGUGUAAGUGACAUGAAAAAACACCAACAGGGGCACCUGGGUGGCUCAGGCAGUUGAGCGUCCGACUUCGGCUCAGGUCAUGAUCUUGCGGUUUAUGAGUUCGAGCCCUGCGUCGGGUUCUGUGCUGACAGCUCAGAGUCUGGAGCCUUCUUUGGAUUCUGUAUACCCCCCUCUUUGCCCCUCCCCCACUCGUGCUCUGUCUGUCUCGCUCUCUCAAAAAUAAAUAAACGUUAAAAAAAAAAAAAAAACAACCACCAACAGCGACCUGAGAACAAAAACGCAAUCUGCUGAGCAUACCCUUUGGCAAAUGUGGGUUAAGAUCCUUAAAACAGUUUAACUCCUCAGCUCGGUAACCUCUUCUCUAAAAAUCCAUCACCAGGAAACAGUCUCAGAUGCCGACAGUGGGUCUUACACACGGACGUACGGCCAACAAGACAUCAGUUCAGUGAGUUAGGGAAGGUCAUUACACCAGAAUAUUAUGCGGCAGUUAAAAAUCACGUUUUUGAAAUGUUCAUCUCAUAUAAUUGCAAAGGAAGGAUACACAUCUCUGUCCUCAAAAUAAUCCCAUUUAAAAAAAUCCAUUAUGGGGUGCCUGGGUGGCUCAGUCGGUUAAGCGGCCGACUUCGGCUCAGGUCAUGAUCUCGCGGUCCGUGAGUUCGAGCCCCGCGUCAGGCUCUGUGCUGACAGCUCAGAGCCUGGAGCCUGUUUCAGAUUCUGUGUCUCCCUCUCUCUGACCCUCCCCCGUUCAUGCUCUGUCUCUCUCUGUCUCAAAAAUAAAUAAACGUUAAAAAAAAUUUUUUUUUUUUAAAAUCCAUUAAAAUAGACCAGAAGGAAAUGCAGGAAAAUAGUUCUUGUGGUUAUUUCUAGGUGAAAGGACUACGGGUAGAGGGUUUUUUUCCCUCUUUCUCUACUGUAAUUUUUUUCUAGCAUUGUCUAGGAUUAUUUUUGUCUUAACGAAAUCAUGAUCACAUCCGUCCCCAGCUGGCCACUUUGCACCUAGAUUCAUUGUGUUAAACUGCAAGCAAAGAACUAGCAUUAAAGAAUGUUAUUUAAUUAAAGUGCUUUCCAUUGUCCCCUUCCCCCUACCCUUAAAACCCCUCACGACCUUCCCACUGCACCUAGGACAAAUGCGGCAGCCUGCAGGGUCCCGCACACCCUGGGUCCCACUCACCUCUGCAGCUUUAUCUUGUAUACUCACCUCCUUGCUCUCUGCUUUCCAGCCGUAUGGGGCCUUUUUCAGUUUUCUGUACAGAUCGCCUUCUCUCUCUUCCUUCUGGCUGCAACACCCUUCUCUAGGCUGAGCCCUUCCCCCCGUACUGCCCCCACCCCCCUAAUUCAGCAAGAUAAAUUCAAUACAAUUCCAACUCAUCCUUUAGACCUCUGCCGAAGUCACUUAAGCCUGAGGACUCACCAGCGCCCCCAGUGUACUUCCAACAGGCUCUCUACUUCCCUUCUUACAACAUGGGUUCCCACCCUGUCCUGAAGCCUAAACCACACGCUGUAGAGGGCUGGGACCGUGCCAUCUAGAUCACUACUGCGUUCCCCCAGAAUGCAGCACAGGGUUGAGCUAACCAUAGAGGGCUCUGAAGUAUCGGUGAGUGGGUGAAUCUCAUCUAACUAGACUGAAACUUCUGUUCUCAGGGCAGGCUGUGCUGAUUGUCAAAAAUGCCCUAUGUGCCCGAACGCCACAAAGUCUCAUUUUUCUCAUCCCUGAAAGGAGGCUCCCAGUACCUAUAGCACACUGUUGUGUUGCAUGAGUUGUUGCUUAUGAAGUGCCUAUUAGAGCGUGUGGCACACAACAAGGACUUAGUAAACGAUGCUGUCUUCCUGGGCCGCCCCCGGUGCCUGUUUACACAGCCAGGACUGGCAUACACCUGUUGUUUUUGUUUUUUUUAAGCUUAUUUAUUUAUUUAGAGACGGAGACAGUGUGAGUAGGGGAGGGGCAGAGACAGAAGGAGACAGAAAAUACCAAGCACCGCCCUGAUGCAGGGCUCGAUCCCACCAACCGUGAGAGCAUGACCUGAGCUGAGAUCAAGAGUCGGACGCUUAACCGACCGAGCCAUCCAGGCGCCCCGGCAUACAGCUGUUUUUAAUGUGACCUUAUCUGCUAUAAGUCACUCGAGGAGGGGUUUCCCCAGAAGAAACUUUUUUAUUCCCCUCCCUAGACUAUGAUCAUUAGUACUCCUCAUCAGCUCUAAGGCAGAGUCAGUUUUCUGGGCCCCAGCACAGCGCCAGACUCGCGAUGUGGCUGUGUGCCAAAUUGACCAGGACCAGGCUGAGGCACCGAGUGAAACCUGUGUGUCCAUCGGCUGCCUUCUUCUUGUGGAUGCAAAUCCCUCUGAACUCUGCCUGAAAUCGUUUGCCCGGUUGGAAGAGUAGAAAGAGAACUUCCCUGACGGGUCAAAGAGUUCUUAUUUUUCCUUUCUAAACACCACUCUUCUUUCAGACGCCAUUAAACUAGCCCAGUUGUGGAUCCUGAGCUUCAACUGUGUGGUUAUGAAAGCCGAGUUCUUUCUCUGAGGUCAGAGCCCUGGGUGUGGGUGAUCUCAGGUAAAAGGUCUCAGGGAUUCAGACAUGUCAUUCUUUUGUAUAACUGACUUUUCAAGUACUCCAGCCCUGAGACUGUCCCCUUAUUGUAGCUUCUCGAACGUUGUCACACUGUCAGACUUGGGCUGGUGGGGUUUUUUUCCUCCCAAACAACCAAAAUCAGAUUCAUUUUGGAAGCAGAUACUAGUAUGGCUGUUGUUCUUCCUAUGUCUGGACCCUGAAGAAUUCAGAACUAGAUUCGGUACUUUGCCGUGUAUUCUCACAGGUUAGGUUUUCGAGCGAACACGAAACUUGGACCUAGUGGCUUCCGUAUGCAUGCACACCGCCACCUGUGUUUAUGUGUGUGUGCUUUCUAGAAUAAGACCUCCUUUAAAACUCAACCUCCCAUCAUUUGAGAACUGAUUUGCUAUUUUAUAGCUUGUCCUUUUUACGGCUCUUGGAGAAUCACUGCACCAAAUAUAUUUGGCAGGAACUUAGCACGCAAGCCCUCCCUCAGAACUUGCUACCAAAUUUGCUGAGUUCCCUUCUUAAAAACUUGAGAUUCCUCUAACUUUUUCCUGUGAUGUGCUCAUUUUUGAUCUAAAACUGUAGUUGAAAGCCUGUCUCGGUAAUCAUUCACAUCAAGAAAAGAACGAAUUUCUCAAAAAAGAAGUCAGGUGCUAAAAAUAACCUCCACGCUAAGACCCACUUACUUUUCUACCUAGGGAAUCAAGACAGAAACAUUUCUAGGCUAGAAAUGGCAUAGUUCAAGUGAUGCAACCAUUUAGCUGCCUACUAUUUUUUUUUCUUUUCUGCCAGAAGGAAAAUAUAUAAUGUAAUGUAGAAAAUUUUCCCCUGAGUUGUUAAAAUAAUCACUGAAAUAACCUCUGGUGCUUAGUACGAUACCCUGAAAUCUUGGAUCUUCAGAAUCGUUCGUUUCUGAGGUUUUCCGGACAGCCAGGUUUUCACUCAAAAAUUGGUUGGUAGAGCGAUUGCUGCUGUUACAAUUGCGUACAUUAUGAGAAUCCUUUGUGGAGGUAAAAAGUGUAAAGAAAAUUGCUGAGAAGUGACCAGUGACUCCCUUCUGUGUUUGUCUAGUGGGCUGUGUAAUUAAAUGAGUGGGUCAAGUCUGUCUGAAGUAAAGUAUUAUGCAAUAUCAAAUAAAUGACAUGACUUUUAAAAAGGUUGUGCACGUAAUUUUUUUCUUCUGUGACUGUAGCAUUACAAAUGUUCUACCUUUAGCCUUCCCUGCUUUCUGUUACACGGAUGCCAAAAAACAAUAGGGUUAAUUAGGACUCAUUCUUUUUUUUCUCUUCCUAGCACAGAGGAGGCUUUCAAUAUGUGCCGAAUGAAUGAACCAGUCUGUGAGUCAUAAUUUAUCACAUCGCUGAUUAAUAGAAGCACAAUUGUUAUCUUCUCUAAUAGAUGUAGCUGACUUUUUUUAAGUUGAGAUUAUCUCAAUGGCUGGGAUGCCAGCAUUUUAGAAAACUCGUGGGUUUAUGUUGGAAGUAGUUUUUAGGGUCAAUAUCCUUUUUACUGCAUCAGGACAAGAGCAGAUAUUUAGCAGACUCAUUCUGUGAUGGAACACUGUUAGAAGUGUGUCAAUUCUUACGUGCAAGUAACAAGUUAUGUUAUUUAUAACAAUAUAUAUGUUAUACAUAACUUAGUUAUGUAUGUAUAUGUAUACAUACAUAUGUAAGUUAUGUAUAACUUAGAAAAAGGUCUCAUUGGAAAGAUAUUAGGUAAUUCAUGGGCUCAAUUAAGAAAAAAAAAAGCAGGGGUGUCUGGGUGGCUCAGGCGUGAAGCGUGAGUUAAGCGGAAGUGUCCGACUCUUGAUUUUGGCUCAGGUCACGAUCUCACGGUUCCUGGGAUGGAGCCCUGUGUCGGGCUCUGUGCUGAUAGCAUGGAGUGGGCUUGGGAGUCUCUCUCUCCCUCUGUCUCUGCCGCUCCCCUGCUCACGCACGCAUAUUCUCUCUCUCUCUCUCUCUCUCUCUCUCUCUCUCUCUCUCUCUCAAAUAAACAUCAAAAAGUAAAUAAAAGCAGACCCCAAGGCUUUCUCAGGGGCCAGAGCUCAGCCAAGGUCCUGACACAGGGACAGUGCUCCCUGAAUGCCUCCGCUGUGUGGCUGCCAGUGGACACACAACUUAUGAAGCUGAUGCCCCUGCCAUGAAUAGCACCCCAACAUCCCUGGGGAAGUGGUCACUCCCUUAAGAUUCAAAAACUGGGACAGGUGCAUCUGAUGGGCCCGGCUUCUGAUCCAGAGAACAGGUGAGAAAGCCUGCCAAUCCUGGGAUUCCCCCAGCAGAAGGGGUAUGGGGAUACUGAGCAGAAAAAAAUCUGGAAGUCUAGCAUCAGAUUGUAAGCUAUUGCACAGCACCGUGUUUCACCUUGUUUUCGUGUCCUGCUUUAUUCGUGGCAAAGUUAAGUGGUUCCACAUUUGCGUUGCCCAGGUCAGCACACAGAAUGUCAGUGGCUUGUUUUCCUUGUCAUCUUUGUUCCUCGUUCACGUAUGAGGCUUUAGUGAGUUGUGUGCAAUGAAUUUUUUUGUUUGUUUGUUUCUAAAUUCUGUUAGCCUGCUGAGAAGCCUGCCUGUGCAGUGAAACAGUAGCUAAGCCCUACUCCAAGAAAACGAUGGGACCAGCUUUUAACAUGGGCAACAUCCAGCUCUUGGGAAGUAUUUUAUUUCCUUUUUAAAAAAUAGCUUUUAAUAAUAUCUGAUACAUAUCAAUGAGUCUAAGAGCUGUAAAGGCCCUCAGAGAUGAUAUUUUUUGACUUGUCACCCAAGUCAUGAAUGUCUCAGCGGCAUCCCAGAUACAGCAGGACGUUGACCUUCUGCUUGGAUAUGGUCAGUGAGGAGCAUGUCACUGCCCCCUUUUCCAUCCCAUUUCUGGAUGUGUCUGGAUAGGAUAAGACUUCUCUGAAAUUCACUUCAUUGUCACUUUGCCCUUUGGUUCUAGUUUUGUCAUGUGGGACCAAACGGGACAUGUUCCUUCUGCAUUAAUUCUAGAGACAAACUAAACUUUGGAGUCAGGUAUGGAUUUGACUCCCACCUUUGCCAUUACCAGCUGGUCGAAUUUUAGAAUCACUGUAUCAUCUUUUUUGAACUGCUUUUCCUCAUUGGUAAGAUGAGAAAUAACAGCUCCUUGGCAGGGAUUAAGAUAUAAUGGAGAAUACGUUACAAUAUGCGUGGCCAGUAGUAUAGUUCCUUAAUCAAUGCUGACUGUCAUUUUUGUUAUUAGUCAUACAUUUAAAGAUGAUUAUCUUGUCCCUUCAGUCUUGUUUCCAUGUUGGGCCUCUGCUCACCUGAGACGAAUCCUCCUGGAUAAUUUACCAUUCUGGUCUUCCUCCUGAGUGCCCUUCUGUCCCUGUUCUUCCAGUUUUAUUAAUAUUUGUGUGAAAAUGUGGUUGGGGCUCCUCGGUGGCUCAGUUGGUUAAGCAUCCAACUUCAGCUCAGGUCUUGAUGUCAUGGUUUGUGAGUUCGAGCCCCGCUUCAGGCUCUGUGCCGACAGCUCAGAGCCUGGAGCCUGCUUCAGAUUCUGCCUGUCUGUCUCUUUCUGUCUGUCUGUCUCUCUCUCUCUCUGCCCCUCCCCACUCAUGCUCUGUCUCUCUCUGUCUCAAAAAUAAACAAACACUAAAAAAAAUUUUAGAAAACGUGUUCUGCACACCAACUGGGCUAAGGGGAACGGGAGUAGGACAUCCGUUAGGUGUAAACGAAUUGUUGACUAAAUCAGUAGGCACUUCAUCAGUGUGACAUAAGGUGAUAGCAUUUUAGUAUCGAUGUCGUACUCAGGUUGACCAUUUUUACUCGGACUGUGGCCAAAGUCAGAAUUCUCCUCCCUUAUGCUUCAGUGGAUUUUUUUUAAGCUAAAUGUGUGCCUUUACAUUUAAUCCUAUUAAAUUUCAUUUAAGCUGGCUGAGGCAAUUUGGAUCUUAUGUUCAUCCCUCUUGAGAAUCUCUUCUACUGUAUGUCAAACAGCUUAGAUGAGAAGUCCCUAUAGGCCUUUAUGUUAAUUAUUUGGAAGGACAGGAUUGAAUGGGACAAGAUCAGUGAAGAAGCCCUGUGGCAUACUACUCGAGAGUGUCUUCCAGGUAGGUACAGACUGAUCUUUGUAAUUUAUAAGUAUGUUGUGGUUAUGUAGUGUUUUAUGACAUAUAAAUCUCUUUUUGUGUGCCAUGCAUUAGAUAUGCCAUAAGUGACACAUCAUCAUUUUUGCAAAUGUGCACAAUGGUACUACAUUCCAAUUUAACCCGUAAGAAAAUGCAAACUGUCGGAUUAUUUGCUGAAGUCAAAGAUGCACUCCUUGGCUCUCCUAGCAAAUCUUUACUAACUACCCUCUUUCACUUUGCUUGUCUGCUCGUGAUGAACCUAAAACCUUACAGUUAGGCUUUUGGAAAAGGUCUUCUUGGAUCUGUGGCAGUAAACAGAUGGUUAAUCAAUUUAUAUGCUCUCCGUGCUUUUCAAAGAGAAAAAGGAGAGUUGUAGGUUUGCCAGGGAUGAGUUUUUAAACCUGGCCACACAGCUAAAAUAUAUCUGAAAUCUACUGGGUGAGAGAGAGCGUCUUUUGUUCUUUUACCAUAACAAUAUGUAUAUGUGUAUAUUUGGAUGUUUUCUUCCAGUGAACACUUAUGACAAUGGGUUGUGUAUUUUAUUUUUCAUUUUAAAGUGGACUCUGUGGAACGUUCACUAAUGUAAUAGGAAGACAGAGGGAUUGGGGCAUCACUGGGAAAUGCUUGGAAUUAACCCAUUAUAUGAUGUUCAUGGUAAUGAGUUCAGAAGGAUAGCUUUUCUCGCUUAUGUGCUAUUUCUCUCUAAAUAUCUUUUCAGAAAGUUCUCAAAAAGUAACUUGCAACUGUAAGGUCAAAAGACUAUGCCACCUUGGUUUGUAUGUGUAUACAAUUAUAUAUAAGUUAGCCUCUGGGUGUUGACCCAAGAAAUGCAAUUCAAUGAUUUCUGUGUGUAAGAAAAAUCUGGGAAGCGUACAUAUAUGUAAACCAAUGACUGCAGGUCUGUGACUGGCUGAAGGAGGAAGUGGGUGCUAGCUUUUGAGGGGCUCAGGGUAUGCCAUCCUGAUGAGUUCAGAUUUCACCCUGAAGGUUGUAGGGUGGCUCAAGGGAAUUUAAAUAGGAAAGAGACGCGAUCAGAUUUACGUUUAAAAGCUUUCAUAGGUAGCAACACAGAGGACGGGGUGAGGUAAAAAGCUGUUGCACUGAUCCAGGUAAGAAAAAAUACAAGUCUAAACUAAGGCAGGGGCAGUGGGGAUGGAGUGAACUGGAAAUACGCAAUUGACAUUAAGUAGAUUCAUUGGGCAAGGGUUAGCGACAGAUCAGAUGAGAAGGUUGAGAGCAAGAAGCAGAAAAGAUGGCUCUUUGUAAAGGGCCCAUUAUGUAGGGUGUCAAGGUGAGAAGGAGGCGCCUGUGCAGAAGAAGCACAGGGAGAAAGAGGAGGGAAAUCCUGGACAGACCAAAGAAAGCGGAUUUGGGGAAGGAGAGAAUGAUCCUGAACAACCAAGUACCGUGAGAGGUCAGAGAAGAUGAGGACUAAGGGAGUCAUCAGUGACUCGGGCAGAACAGUUUUUGAGGUGGGGAGAGGCCAGCGCCGACCUGACUGCUGUAAAUUGAAGCGUGGAAAAAAGUGAUGGUAGGUGUCCCUUUGGCUGACCGUGGAUUAGAAUAGAUCAGAGAGGAGUGGGGGAGGGGCAGCCGUGGGUAAAGGGAGGUUUCGUUUGUUCAGUGGCAGGUGUUCGUCCAUGAAGAAUUGCUGGUGAGAGUUGAGAGCUGAAAACAGAGGAGAAGUAAGGGGUGACUGAGGGAACUAGGUCUUGUAGAAAUGGGAGAAAACGAGAUACAAAAUAAAAAUGGAGGCGUUCCUUUGUGUUCAAUAGGAGGAUGGGUUCAUUCCACUGAAACAAGAAGAAAGGCAUGUAGAAAAAUACAGCUGGAUGAGGGCAGGCUGGAAGGUAAUGAGAAUUCCCCCACGGAAUUCAUUCCCGCCCCCCACCCCCCACCCUACAGAGAAGCCACACAUGGAAGAGGUAGCAGUUAAAAGGCAACGGGAGAGUGGCCGAGUAAGCCAGAGAUUGGUUGCUUGGCAAACUGGGGGACCUGGCAUUGCCUCCCAGCAGGAGACGGGGCAUCUGUGUUGGUAUACAGGUCGGUCCGUCUGUGUGAUUUUCCCCUGUGCUGGUCAGCACUGUGGUAUAGCUGGGAAGAAAGGAGAUGGCCAGAUUCAUUCUUUCUGAAAGUACGGAGCGCCUGCUGUAUACCAGGUACGUACGUUCCAUAUCAUUGAGAGGCAGCAGCUAACAAAAUAGAGGAGUGAGGAAGAAAGCGGUGCUGCUCUCUGGGUUAAAUGUAUUCCAAGCACGGAGAGCUGUGAAGGCCUUGAGGAGGAAGGGUGUACUAAAAAGGCACAGCGACGAAGCAAGCGUGUCUGAAAUGAUGUCUGUCUGGCAGGUGAGGGACACUCGGGUUUGGAAGGAGGGGUGGGAACAGAAUUUGGGAAGACCCUUCAGGCCAUUGUAAAGAGUUUGGCUUUUAAUUUGCCAGUGAAAAUUUUAAGCAGAGGACUGACAUAGUCCGACUUUGAUUUUUAAAGAAUCACUCUGGCUGCUGGAGAGAUAAGAGGAGGGAGAGUAUAAGGAGGGAGGGAGGAGCCUAAAAGCAGAGAAACCUACUAGGAGCCUGUUAAAUAGUAAGUCUAGGGAGCCAUGAUAGAAGGUUAGGCCACGCAUAUUCCUACCUCAGGGCCUUUGCACUUCCUGUUCUCUGUGUCUGGGAUCCUCUUCUUCUAGAUAUUCCCAUGGCCCACACCCUCCCCUCCUUCAGAUGUCUGCUUAAUGUGAGUCCUUCAUAGCAGCCCUCAUGCCCUCACCAGCACACCCUUUCCAUGACAUUUUUUUUCUCCAUAAAACUUAACCACCAUUUGACGUUCUACUUGUUUAUUUAUUUAUUGUCUAUCCUGACAAGAAUGCAAGGUUUUUAAGAACAGAGAUUUCACUCUGUUUUGUCCAUUGCCGUGUGCCUGCUCCCUAGAGCCAUGCCUUCCCUGAGGAGGUGCUCCAUAAAUAUUGGUUGACUCAAUUAAGGAAUGAAGUGCUCCUGUCUCCCUUAUCACCAAUUCCCCCUCCGCCAUUACAAUUAGUAGGAACAAUGGCAGUGAUAAUAUUCCAUUUCCUUACUGCCUCUCCCUUUCUGUAAAGAUGAGGUACACCGGGCUUCAUCGGUCUUCCUCUGCAGAGUAGAAGUAACUCACUAAGCCAUGGAGUCGAUUUCGUGGCUCCUCAUGCAGCAAGCAGCCUUGCCUUUGGUUUGUGUCCGUCUUUGCGUCUGUUUAGUCACGUCGCUCACGCUCUUCAGAAUCCUCUAGCUUAAACUCUUGAGUAAUUCUGGACAGUGGAGUUAGCUGGGAACUUGAGAACCAGAUGAAGGAUUCUGCCAAUAGCAUGCCGUAUGUGCUUGGCAUCUAAUUUUGGCAUUCGCUUUAGCAGGUUUGAUUGCAUAAUUCAGGCAUUGGCGACAAAAAGUGACCACAUAUCCAGGGAGGGGAGGAUUGGGAGGCACAAGAUGGAAGCUGUUCUAGGGAUUCAGAGAAUGGGCUAGGGCUCUUGUUUUUAAAAAGAUGCCCACGUUUCCAGCGCCCUUGGGAUUCUUCCAGGCCUCCCGCAUAGACCAUCAUGGAGUAUUUACUUCCUUUGGGGACUGCAGGAUGAUGCUCUUGUGGUCCUUCCAUAGCAAGUCUCCAUUUUAUUAUAUAUAUUUUUUUUAUGCCUGCAUCCUGUGUUUUGAAAUAUUUUCUCGCCUACAAAAUCUGUAUCAAUUAAGUACAACUUAAUUUGUUUUCCCACUUUUUCCUAAUUAAAGACCUAUAUCUAUAGACAGCUAUCCGAACUUCCAAGUAUGACAAAACUGCAAAGAGCGUAUGUAAUUGACAUGAUUCCAAAAUAAAAGCCAAGAAUGUGUAGAUUUCACACCCACACCCUCAUUGUGGGUCAAUAAAGGCUUCCUGAUCAUUUUGAAUGUGCAAAUACGAUGCCUUUUGAGCACCCUCAGUUCGUUCCUAGAAGAGAGACUUUAUUGUGGUUUGUUUUGUUUUCAGUGUGUGGAAUUUUAAGUUGUGAGUGAAAGAGCACUCGGCAUCACGAGGCAGGACAAGAGAUCUGUCCCUCAGCAGACAGGUGAUCAUGGGCAAGUCUCUUGGAGAGGAGAGAAGCAUGAGAGUUCUGAACCGGGUGACUUCUAAAGAGUCUUCCACUGUGAAACUGCAGCAAUCUUUCACACAUGUCCAUGCCUGUUGUCUCUUUUUGCAGCCUUCAGGGUUAAUGAGAGCUCUCGGGAACACUGUGACCUUAGAGGGAACUGGCUUACAUCAAGAGAGCAGAUGCCAGCUCCCUCUAGUACUCUCCUGGGCACAUGACCCACUCCCUUUUUGAAACCCUGAAUCUUUACAUCACUGGUAAGUGCCUGUAUAAUUGAUACUGUUGCCAGUGAUCAAACACGGAGAUUACCAAAUGAUAGAGCUGGAAGAGACCCUAAGGUAUUAUCUAGUCCAAUUAUGGCCCCCAGACACCUAUGUGUCUGAAAAAAGAGAUGGGGGCGGGUCUGUGAGCCAACUCUAGUAUUCCAGAUGCCCUAUGGUAAUUCUAUAUUUGAGGAUAAUACUGUAAGAUUAAUCAAGCUAGGGAAGCAUGAGGUUCCUCUGCUUUUGGCAGGAAUUAUCAAUAUGUGGAUAAAUCAGGUGUUCCUAGUAACUGCUCGUGGGGAAGCAAAAGCUUUCGAAAACCAAAUGCCUGUAGCUGUGUUGUCCAGUACGAUUAGCCACUGGCCACGUACGGAGCACUUGAAACAGAGCUAAUCCCUAAGUAUGCUGUCAGUGCUAAAUGCGUACCAGACUUCAAAAACUUAGUAGAAAAAUGUGAAGUUGGGGCGCCUGGGUGGCUCAGUCAGUUAAGCGUCCGCCUUCGGCUCAGGUCAUGAUCUCGUGGUCCGUGAGUUUGAUCCCCGCGUCGGGCUCUGUGCUGACCGCUCGGAGCCUGGAGCCUGUUUCAGAUUCUGUGUCUCCCUCUCUCUCUGCCCCUCCCCCAUUCAUGCUCUGUCUCUCUCUGUCUCAAAAAUAAAUAAACGUUAAAAAAAAAUUAAAAAAAAGAAAAAUGUGAAGUAUCUUACGUUUUUAGAUUGGUUACAUAUUUAAGUGAUAAUAUUUUAGAUAUAUCAAAUUAAAAAAGUAAUUAAAAGUAAUGUAAAGCCUUUCCUUUUACUUCUUUUUACUGUGGGGCCUACACAUCUCAAAUCACAUCGUGUGGUUUCCAUUGUACUUCUGUUAGAAGCUGUGGUCUGUUGUGAGAGAUUUCUGGGCGGUGAAGUGUCUGGGACUCGUUCUUUAUUUGGUAGAGCCACAAAGUGAGAUCAGAGAGGUUAGGCCACUUGUUCAGGAUCACACAGCAAGUUGGUAGCUGAACCAGGAUUAGGCCAGUGUGCUUUCCAUUGCUGAAAACAGCCUCAGGGUUCACAGUGAUUUGUUUUACUAGGGGUCUGUAAAAUUGCUUCUUUGAGUAAAUGCCGAGGUUCUUGUAUAGAUGAUUGGCAGUUGUGUCCCUCCAGAAUCAAAUCCAACCAAAAACAAAAAGAAAAGAAGGAAGAGAAGGAGAGAGAAAAGGCUUUCCCUUUAAAGGACCCAGUGAGAAAUUGCAGUUUUCAUUCUUGAGCAGAUUUCCUUUACCCCCAGCACCCUGGCGUGGAACAUUAAUUGCUGAAGAAAACCGCAAUAAGAAAACAUUGACAAGGAGUGCAGCCCUCAUUCAGCAUGCUUUCCCCUUCAACGCAGCAAGAAUCCCUCAUUAAAAGAUUAAGGCUGACCAAAAAUAAAUUGUCUCUUGGUCCCCAGGCAGUUCAUUUGACAUCAUUUCCACAGGAUUAGGGACCCCAAUGGCAUGUGUUUAGCAUGGGGCUAUGUUAAUACUACAUAGGAUUAUUCUCAAAAGUUUUAAAAUAUAUUUUUAAGUAUUGAACUACUACUAAUUAAGACUUUGAUGUGACUAAUAACUAUGAUAUUUUGCCCACAAAUGGGGACUUUUCUCCCCGCCCCCCACACCAGUGUGUAACCAAACCCAGCAAUUCUACCUUAAAAAAUUUAUAAAAAGCAGACCAUGACGUAUAGCAACAUCAUGAUCACUUGAGGAAUUGUGUAAUUAUAUGGAAUGGAAAUUUAGCCUCUACUGCACGCGGUCCUUGGUCCCUUCUCUGAGCCAUCAUUUCUCGUCUUUGUGUUUUUUUAUGGUUAUCCAUAUUGUACGUGUAGGGUUUAAAGAAGCUAAAAAUUUUAUAAGGUACGUUACAAAAUCUUUUGUGCCCCCUCCCCCUACUCUACAUCCCUACUCUUGAUUUCCUGCCCACCAGAGGCAACCACUUUUAUAUCUUUCAACUGGUUCUUUAGUCAUUUACCUCCAUUUCUUAAAUCACACACUCAGGGUGCCUGGGUGGCUUAGUCAGUUGAACAUCUAACUCUUGACUUAAGCUCGGGUCACGAUCCAACAACCGAGCCCCACGUCGGGCUCCAUGCUGAGUCCCUCUCCCCUGCUUUCUCUCUCUCUCUCUCUCAAAUAAAAUAAAAUAAAAAAUUAAAUUACACACUGACAUUGCUACUUAUUUCUUUUUCAGUUCUAGACAUUAUCCUUUCUUAUCCCACUGUAGAAGAUGACACUUUAUCUCUUUUGUCCCCUACCCCUAGCCCUACCAUAGAAGCAUCCAGGUAGUCAUAAUUUCAGACAGGUCACUAUUUAGUGUUUCCAUGCUGUCAUUAUAUAAAUGCGAUCAUAUCUGACUCACGUACUCUAUUAAGAUUGCUUUUCUUUACUGUAACUUCUGGUUUUCCCUGGAGUUAAUAACUAUGGUGUUUUUACCAUGUACUUCCAUUUUUAAUGUACUGAUAACUUAAUUUUUAUGUACUCAUUGCUAAUUCACCUUUCUCAGAUGCAGUGGGUGUUAACAAAUCCUGGAGCAAGAGUCUGAGAACCUUCCACCUUCUCUGGUCUUGGCUUUCGCGUGGUGCUCCGCUGCCAUCUGGGCCUUUCUUCACUUCACCUCCUCUUUGAGUUUGAUUCCAUUUCCUGAAUUCCAUGCCUUUUCUUGUCUUAGUUUAUUUUCUAGCUUUAAUGGAGGACAGUUUUCAAUAGCUUCCUAGGGAUGGGGCGGGGCUAGAGGGGAAGUAAAAUUGUUGAAAACUUGCACGUCAGAAAAUAUCUUUCCUCUCUCCCCAUAUUUGAUAGUUGGACUUAAUAAGUUGCCUAAGGAUACAGUUCUAGGCAGGAAGUAAGUUUCCCCCAGAAUUUUGAAGGCACUGGUCCAUUGUAUUGUCUUUCAGUGCUGCUGUUGCAAAGACCGUGCCUUCCUGACUCUUAAUCCUUGGUGUGUAACUUGUUUUGUUUGCUUAUUUGUCCUCCGGGAGUAUUUUUAUCCUCCGCAUUCUAAAUUCACUGUCAUGUGCCUUGGCGUGGGUCUGUGUUAGUCCAUUCAGGCCAUUGCAGACCUGACACUUAUUUCCUUCAGUUCUGGGAAAUUUCCUCCCCUGUUUUCUCAGUUCUUUCCCUGGAACUCCCAUUAUUAGGACGUUGGUCCUAUGAUUUUCUUAUCUUCUCUUGUUAUUUUCCACCUGCUUGUAGUUUGAACUCCUCUUUGGGAGAUUCCUUAACGUUUAUUUCCCACUCCUUCUAUUGAGUUUUUAAUCCUGGGGUCAUACCUUUAAUGUGCAUGGGGGUAUUUUUGUUGUUGUUCUGGACACGUUCCUCAUUAUAACCUCUUGUCCUUCUCUCAGAGUCGCAACAUCUUCUCUUACUUAUGGAAGGAUAAUAAUGAUGAUGAUGAUGAUGAUGAUGAUGAUUAGUUUUUCCUACAUUGUCUGUCUUUUCUCCAUGACGCCUUCUUCUGGCCGUUUUGAGGUUUUUUUGUUUGUUUUUGGCUGGGUGGUAUUUUUUGUUUCACUCUCUGCCUUUCCUCUUUUAUACCCAAACAUCUGGUGAUCUCUGCUUGUCCGCUCAUAUCUGAGAGUUGUUGGAGUACUGACUGGAAGUUCUACAUGCAUGGGUGGGCUUACCCACGAGGGUGGCAAGUCUGGGUAUUUCCUUGACAUACAUACCUUUGUUAUGAAUAUCUCGACGUCUUUUGUCUUUAGCUACAUUCCGCAGAGACAGACAGGUAGCCAUCCUGGAGGGCUUAAGUCUAGCUGCCAACCUCCUGGGAGAGCAGCGAGAGGAAAUGGGCUGGCGUGGGGGUGGGGGAAUCUCACUGGUUGCCACAUACACAUCCUUUUACUCCUCCAUAUAUAAGUUUUAAGUUAAUUCCACCUGGCCAUUUUGGUUUCAGUUCUUUCUGAAUUCACUCUACUUUAUUGUCUCUGGUGCAUAAACUUCUAAUCUUCUGCCGUGAUAGGAAAGGAGCAGUGGCUCAGCUGUCCAGAUUUUCAGAUGUAACCAGUGCCAUCAAUUGCCCAGCCUUUGAGGGUCCCUGCCCUAUAAAUCUGGUUGUUUCCCAGCUUUUCUUACUAUGAGGUUAGCAUUCUACUUCCCUGCGUCUGCUAAGUAAAUUACCAUUGGUUCAUCUGCUUUCUAGUUUCUGAUUUGUGCUUCUCUUCUUCUCCUCCUCUUUUCCUCCCCCUCGCUCUUCCCCUCGCUCUUAUCUCCUCUCCUGGUGUUUUAGUCCUUGUGCUUUCUUACAAAUCUUUUCGCUGUUAUUUUAAGAAGUUUAGGGAAAGAGAGCAGAGCUAAAAUUAACUUCAUCAAAGACUGAUGAAUUUUGACAGUCUCUCUGCCACAGGGAGGGAUUGUCUUAAGUGUGUGUGUUUCGUAUAUAUCGAACUUCGAACUUGAACUUCGUAUAUAUGGAGCUUCUCAGGAGGAAGCUUUUUUGUUAAUUGAAAUUAUUAUUACGAUUGAUAAGUUUUUACCCUUAGACUAGUACAACUUGUGUCACAAAGUAUCGCCUGCAUGGAAGUCUUGUGAGGCACUACAUAUAGGGCAGGUAGUUGUAUUUUUGUGUUCCUGUGCCCUCUUGAGGGAUAAAGUUUUAUGUCCCCGUUAUAGGAAAUCAGUGGAAGAACUGGAUUAACCCAGUUAGAUUUUUGUUUUGUUUUUACACCAAUACCCUUUCAUUAAUAAAGAAGUCAACAUAUGAAGUACUCAUAGACUAGUUAAUAUACAUAAAGCUCUUAGAAUCAUGACUGGCACACAGCACUAUGUAAAUGUUAACUGCUACUCUUAUUAUUAUAUGCUCUUGUCUUGAUAGUACUUCUGAAUAUUCCAAGAGUUACAUCCAAUGGUUCCCAAGCCCAGCCGCACUGCAGAUUCACUUGAUGAUCUUUUAAAAAAGAUUACACUUCCCACCUCAGACCUCCUUCAUCAGAGUCUUCAGGGCUGGGUUCCAAGUACCUAACAAAACACAGCUCCAAUUUUCUGGGGAAGAGAUAAGCGAGACAUUUCGAGAACCACUCCUAGGAGGGUGUUGUCACAUCACUGAUGGAAAUUAUGUGGAUGAUGGUUGAAGAAGACUGCAAAGGAGCCAGCUCUGGGAGCUGAGACUAAAGGCAAAGUAGAUAUACACAGCAAAUAAAUAAAUAAGUAUACACACACGCAUACCCAGAGCUGGAAACCAAGUCAUUAUACCUGGCCGUCGUUCUGUACAGAACAUUUAGGCAGUAAAGUCACCCUCUUUCUUUACGCUGUUUUGCUCUUUUAUUUAGAUCAGAUUUUACCUGGAUAGAAGAAUUAUCAAAAGAGGUUCAAGUGGAUGGAUGUGCAUUUCUUCCUGCUCUCCCAGUAGCAGACGUUUGUGAAGCAUUGGCCAGAGUCAGCUAAGCAUUUACUUUAGACGAGAUCCGCACUCCUAAAGGGGACUCAUGCAGUCUUCAGAUGGAUUACAUUUAAAUUAAUCCUUGUUCAGACUCAGGUCUCAUCUGCUAGUAGGGUUCAAUUUUCAUUCAUCUACUGUAAAACCAAACAACCCUUAUUUGUGGCUAAGGGAGAGAGGAAAGAGAGGAAAUAAAAAAAGCGUUACAUUUUAUUUCCAUGUAAGUGACUCAGAAGGCACUAAAUGGUUACUUAUUUGAGAAUUAAUAGCAACCCUUUGUUUAACUAAAACAGUUGGUGUUAGAAGAAUAAUUUAUAGAAUAAUGGAAUUAUAGAUUAUAUAACUAUAUAAUAAUUCAUAGAAAUCACAGUUAGGGGCUGGGGAGGAGGGGUGGGUGACAAAAAAAAAAUGCCAAAUCGCAGAGUGACCAGAUUCAUGUCCACUAAUGUUUUACAUUAUCCAAAUUUUAAUGCUUGAUUUUAAGGAAUAUUCCCUUAUCAUUUAUAAAACAUUUAUCUUGAGAUUCUCUCCAUACUUGGUGUUGGAACAAUGGAGAAUGAUCCAGGCUUUCCGUUGGGAAAAUAACAAUAGCUAGCCCUUACUGCAUGCUAACUGCAUGCCAGGCACUGUCCUAAGCACUUUUCCAUCUGCUAGCUAAUUUAAUCCUCAUCAGGGCCCUGGAGAAGGUUCUGUUAAGAUAAACGAAGUGAGGGGCGCCUGGGUGGCUCAGUUGGUUAAGUGUCCGACUUCGGCUCAGGUCAUGAUCUCGAGGUUCAUGGGUUUGAGCCCCCGUGGGGCUCUGUGCUGACAGCUUGGAGCCAGGCGCCUGCUUGGGAUUCUGUAUCUCCCUCUCUCUCUGCCCCUUCCCCGCUCGUGCUUUGUCUCUCUCUCUCUCGAAAAUAAAUAAACGUUAAAAAAAAUUAAAAAUGAAAAAAAAGAUAAAUGAAGCGAAAGCAUGAGAGGCUUACUUGCUGGUAAGUGAGUGGUGUAGCCCUCCUAUUUGCCUAGCUGCUUUCCUUGUACAGCUUUGGGUUGCUCACCACAGGUGCCUGGCCCAGAGGACGUUAUGUUCCGGACUGGGCUGGCCAGGGCUGUAGAAGGUGUUUUAGACAUAAGCCAAAGGAAGCUAAUACAGGCCUCCUCUUCCUUCCACAUGCUGUCUCAAUUCCAGACCAACAGUAACUCUCUUAAGGGACUAUUAGGUGAGGCGAGGCUCAGAGAACUUCGGUAAAUUACUCAAGCUCACACAAAUGGACAGUGCCAGUCAGAAUUCAAUCCAAAUUAGAUUCCAAAGCCAGUGGAAUACCUCCCUUCUUCUCUUAAUAUUACCUUUUGCUCUGUGUCGCCUCUCAGGAGGUGGGAAAUAAAGCCAGGGAUGAGUGGGUACCUCUACUCACAGUUACUUCGUGUAGCACUGUGUGACCCUUCAGUCUGUUUUCCAGGCAUAAGCCUGGCUGAAUGGCAAAUAAAGCCCAGGCAGAACGGCAGCCUUCCCCAUUUAUGCCUGGAAGAUAUAACACUCUUUUUGCAUUGGCACCAGAGAACUGUGCCCACCAGCUCUGAUUCUUUUCUUCUCCCUUCACUACCCCCCCCCCCAACUUCAUCAAGAAGAUAUGAAUGCUGAGAUCAUCUCAGAGAAAUCUAGAAUAAAUACCAUGAGAAAAUGGUCCCCCUGGAAGGCAUCUUGUUCUCCUGCUGUUUGUAAUUGUGAAGAGCUCAGCAACUGGGCAGCUGGAUGGGUAUAAAUAUAGCCCAGAGCACUGACGCCCGCUGAAUCCUGCUUUCUUAGAAGCACAAUGGGAACCCACGGAAAUCAGGGAAAGAGCAGUAAAGCCCAGUCAAUCAAUCAGCCUCCCUCCCUCCCCUCUCCCUUUCUCACUCCCUCUCUCCAUCCUUAACCUCAGUGUGGGUGUGAGGAUAGAAGCAGCUUUUAAGAGUGCACUUAAAAUAGUUCUUGGAACUGGACGCUGGCUAAACUCAAAGACAGGGAAGAUGCUACCUCCCAAACCGGCCCCUGUCCGACCUGUAAGCCCAGGACUAGUUUGACCAUUCUGGUGGGAAAUCUCAGGAGCCCGUGCAUCCUCAGCCCAGCUGCUUGGGUACAAGCAACAUUUCUAGCAUGAGCUCCAGGCAUUUGGUGCCUCCAUAUUCAGAUAUCUUAUUCUAACCAGACUCAGCUGCCUAAUGCCCGGGGAUUAAAAAUAGCCUCCCAGUGCUAGCUAUGGAAUUGAAGGAGAAAUACUCAGGGAGUAGAGAGGUCAGCUUUACUCCGGGCCCCCGAUUCUCAUACCUGUGGGUUUCAUUGCAUCUAAGCGUUUAAUCCCUUCAGGUUAUUUUAGUCUUGUGCUAUACCAUUGCCUAUUUUGUGUGGCUGUUUAAGAUAAAACGGUCAUCCCAGGUUUGUGGGCAUUGGUAUCAUUAGGAGUCUGGGUUUUGGCAGGAGAAAGCCAUUAUUUUGCUUGGUGGUUCCCGGAAACAAAUUGUGUCUAGUUAUCUUUCCAUGCAGACAUCAAUGGUAUUUGCUAUUGAUGCAUACAUUUAUUGGUUUUUUUCUUUCCCAUUUGGCAGUGAAUACUUCACAGAAAAGAAUCCUGUCCUCUACUUUCAGUGCAACUGUCCACAAAGCUUAAUAAAUGGUCUUACAUGACUUUGCUGUGUUUUGUGACUGUUGAGCUGAUUGAAACAACCAUUCUUUAAUGUCCACAGCACCCUUCUAGAAGAUGGCACAAAUACUGUGUCAUUUCAUAACAUUCCAUUGUUUAAGGUUCCGUGUGCACCAGCGGUCUAAGAGCAAUCUGUGUGCAUGUGUGUUUUUAAUUGUUUCGUUGGAUGGGAGCUGCAUCUAUGCUUUUUUUAUUUAUUUUUUUUAAUUUCUAAGAUUGCCUCCUCCAAAUUGAACCUCAGAGUGUAAUAUUUGUAAAAAAAAAAAAAUAAGGAACAGUUAAAGCAGAGUAUAUUUAAAAUAUAAAUUUAAACACGGAUAAACUGAAGAAGGCCUGAUGUUGGAAGAAUGGUAGGUCCGUCGGUUCACCGGUCGCCGGAGCGCCUCAAGCACAGAACCUUCCUCACAAAACAUCCUGCUUUCCAAUUGCUUGUCCUUGGGACCGGAGCCGUGCUAGGAGAGGAACGCCAGCUGUUCUGGCCUUGGUAGGGACUCCAAGGAAAUCAGGCCACCGCUUGGAGACUUCACAGAGCCAAAGGGAACAUCUUGACUUACAGCCAGGAGCCUUGCAGGUCAUAACAGAGUUCUAAUGAUUGACACCCUGAAAACCAUUCACUUGGUACAGGGCCUGGCACAGAGUAAGGACUCACCGAAUGUUAGCAAAUACGCAAAGGGGCAUUCCACCCCUAUCUCUUCGCUCAGCUUCCAAAAGCCUAGAAAAAUAACAUGGGGACUUCGAUCGGCACGGCCACAGCAGCGAGUGCAUUCCCUCGGCAGAUGAUGAUCGGACGACCUCGGCCACCUUCUCCAGAUUUUUCCCUUUGCCCCUGAAUCGAGAUGCCACUUGGCACGGAUGAGCCGCAAACACCUCAGCCUCCGGUUCAGGGACUGUCCCGGAAAGAAGGAGAGGACAUCGUAUAUGAAACUCACUUAAAAAAAAAACAAAAAAAAACUAGUUAUAUAAAGAAAGAAAAGAAAAAACUAAGAUGCGUCCGGGACCAGAGGAUAGAUUGAGUUGUAGGCUUUUAUGUGCAUGCCAGAAAGGAAGGGAGAAGAGCCCACCACACUGCAUCAUCUUCUGUUCCUUGGCCAAGAUUCACAUCCACCUGUUAUGUGCCAUUUUCACCUUUGCCCCCUUGUGCACCAGCCCGGUGACACUUACCGUUACCUUUAGCCCUCCCAACCGCCGCAAGCUGGGUGGUGUUAUCCCCCGUCUUUGGAUGAGGAAACAGACCCUGGAGUGAGGUGACCUGUCCAGGCUCCUCAAAGAAGUCAAUAGCAGAGAAAGGACUUGAGCCCAGACCUUCUAAUUCCCAGCCCCGUGAGUAGGAAUAAAAGAGUGGAAACAGCUGUCCAACCCCCCCGAGUGUUAUGAAAAGUAUUGUAUUAAAAGUACUGACAGCCCCAGAGGUGACACGAAUGUUUCUCCAUCACUCACCACUGAAACCAGAGCUGUCGCUGGAUACUGUCCGUUCCAGAACCCUCAAGGCACUGAGACUGUGAAGUGACAGCUUUCCUCUCUACAAACUUUCUUUCUUUCUCUCUCUCUCUUUUUUUGUUUUGUUUUAAGAAAUCGAAUAGUGCUGAGGGAUAAUUUCUUUUUUUUUUUUUUUUUAGUUUAUUUAGAGAGAGAGAGAUCAUGAGCAGGGGAGGGGCAGAGAGAGAAAGGGACAGAGAAUCCCAAGCAGGCUACACACUGUCAGCACAGAGCCCGACACGGGACUCAAACUCACGAGCCUGAGCCAAAAUCAAGAAUCGGAUGCUCAACUGAUUGAGCCACCCAAGUGCCCCAGGAUAAUUUCUUGAAAUAGGGCUUUAUCUCCUUCUUUUUGAGAGGAAUUUAGGUGUCCUUUCUUCAGUGAAAGAUCCUUUCUGUCCUGUAAGAACCUAGAAAUAGUCUGUUGGUCACCCACUGUGAUGUUCCCAACAAAUCCAAAUCAUGCCAUCAAUAAAGCUCAGUUUUUGAGAGGCCAUUCAUUCUUUUAAGCACUAAUAUUUGUAUUCAUGCAGUGUGCUUAGCACCAAUCCAGGCACUGGGAACAGAAUUGAAAGGAUACUCUCUUCAAGAAAUUCACAGUUCCUGGGGCGCCUGGGUGGCUCAGUCGGUUAAGCGUCCGACUUCAGCUCAGGUCACGAUCUCGCGGUCCGUGAGUUCGAGCCCCGCGUCAGGCUCUGGGCUGAUGGCUCAGAGCAUGGAGCCUGCUUCGGAUUCUGUGUCUCCCUCUCUCUCUGACCCUCCCCCUGUUCAUGCUCUGUCUCUCUCUGUCUCAAAAAUAAAUAAACGUUAAAAAAAAAAAUUAAAAAAAAAAAAGAAAUUCACAGUUCCCAAACUUCAGCUGUGCCCACAGAGUCCAGGCAACUAGGGAAAUUUCAGUAUCAGGUAACGGGAGGAAGGCCAGGACCACCAGUUGUUGGCAAGUAUGGUUGGGAGGCAAGGUGCUGGUAGUUGGGGGUGGGGGGUGUCUAACGUUACCUUUGGAAACGUGAGCUUAAGGAGCAGACAGCAGAAACCCAGCCAUAGCAACUGGGAUUCAGCCAUAGGACUUGUGUUAUGGAGAAGGACUGGAAGAUAGGGCUGGGUGGGAAACCCAGAUAAGGGACCCCAUGACAGCAAAGACUUUUUUUUCCGGGUGACAGAGCAAGGCCCAGUAAAGCCAGCAGUAGUGGUGACUCACUACUGAUUCCCUGAACAACUGGUCCCAAGCUUCCUCUUGAUAAAGGAGAGGAUUGGGCCUGGAGUUUGGGUGGAGCUGGACUUGCAGAAAGGGGGUUAAAUAAGUCCAGCUGAAAAGAUUAUGGGGCCCUAGGGGCAGCCAGCCGAGUAUCUUACUACAGCUAAAACACAUGGAAAAUCAGUCGGACCAAUGAGAUGCACAGCUCUCUCAGGAGAAAGUGGGCAUCCCACGUUGGCAUAAUCUAUAGGAAAGGAUUUCAGUUCUGUGGGUCUUGAAGACGAAGUUACAAGGUUGCUAGGAUGCUUAGGCUACAAGACGUUUUUGUGUGAUCGCCUUAUAGUAGAAACAAAAGAACAUUCCUGUAGUCUUUACCACGUAAAGGUUGCAGAAGAUGAGCUUUUUUAUUUUUUUUUUUAAUUUUUUUAAUGUUUAUUUUUGAGAGAGAGAGAGAGAGAGAGCAGGGGAGGGGCAGGGAGAGAGAGGGAGACACAGAAUCCGAAGCCGGCUCCAGGCUCUGAGCUGUCCGCACAGAGCGGACAUGGGGCUCAAACUCACAAACUGCGAGAUCAUGACCUGAGGUGAAGUCGGACACCCAACCGACUGAGCCACCCAGGCGCCCCAGAAGAUGAGCUUUUUAACAAAUAUCCAUCAACUAUCUAUUAUGUGACUCCGAAGACAAAUAAGAAGGUAAAAUAGUUCUUGCCCUUGAGGAACUUGUCACCUCUUGGGGAAGACAGAUGGCUAACCAGCAAAUCAGAAUAUAGGGUGGUUGGGGUUGUGUAUCAUGUCAUUGACCCACAGAGGAGAAGCAGUUGACUUCAGAAAGGAGAAGGGUUUAAGCUGGGUUGCGAAGGAAAGUAAAAGUAAGGAGUCUGAGGAAAGCAAAGAAAUGAAGAUUGGUUCUAGAAACAAGCAGCAGCUGGUGGCUGGAGCAAAGGGGUGUGAUAGAAAAUAAAACCGGAAAGAUAGACCUGAAGGGCCUGCUGGGCUAAGCUGAAGAAUUGAAUUUCUCCCCCAGAAUCUACGGGGAGCCAUUGACGGGUUUCAGGCAGGGAAGUGAUAACAUUCCUUUUCGGGAACUAUGUGAAAGGUGGGUUGUAAGAGAGAUGUCAGGCCAGUUAGGAAGGAGAAUGAUACUGCUAAUGCUCGAGUACUCGCAUUUUUCUCCUGUCGCCCGUUGUAGCUCCAGAAUUGUAGACUCGUCUACAGAGAAGCCACACGAGUGUGGAAUAUCAGCUUGUGAGCCACUCCAGAAAGGGUAUGCUGGUGGCUGGAAGUUGGGCAGAUUGAAAGGCUUCUUGUCAUGAGGGAACAAGUUACAUUAGGGCACACGUCUAAGGUCGCUGCAGAAAAGUUUAAAGUCUCAGUCACAUGGUAGCCAUGAUGUGUAGAAGAACCAGAAUUUCACGGAGUGAAGUUGGCCAAAUGCUUUGAAGUUGGCCCCCACCGAAAGCCCACCUACCUUCGCUCUGAGUCGCAAUUAAAAUCGGAAUGUGGCACAGCUGUGUGAGUGGCACACACAUUCUCACACAUGUCCGAUCUCUCGGGUCCAUUUUGGUAGUAUUUGUUUUCCUUUGAGAUAGGAGUUGAUUCAGUCACACUUUCUUCUCCUGACAAUAACUGCAUUUUUUUUUCCUGAGGUAGCCUUCCCUCCAACCGUCUCUUGUUGUUCUUACCCAAGACCCGGUAUCUGCCAAAACAAAUGUAUGUGAGUGAUAAACGCUGAGAGGAAUGUCUGUUGGACCACAGGAAAUUUCCUGUUCAGGAAGAGAUCUUGGGAACUUCCUGUGGAGGGGUGCAUUGUGGGACUUUUGGCUGCAGGCCCUUGACCACAGCUGCAAUUAACUAAAGGCAAGGGGGGGAGGGGAGAGGAAGAAGAGGAGACAGCUACCCACAGACAUUUUUAUCCAUGUAGCCUGAGGAGAGAAUGGGCUAAUACAGGUUAAAAUUUUCCAAGUGAUCUGAACGUCUAAUGUGCACCAAGGUCACUGGUGCCCAGUCUCCUUUACUGCCACCCAUCCUUUACAGCAUCCCAGAUGCUUCCUUAGGCUUCCUAAAAACAAGCACUGUCGCCUUGUCUUCAUGAGUCUUCCUAUGCCUCCAGCCCUUGUAAGCCUGUGUGAAGUGUCCACCUCCUCUUGGGCCAUACCGACGGGUUGCAAUGCCCUGAUUAUCCUCAGGACCACUCAUGGCUACUGGUGUCCACACCUUGGGGUUGGUGAUGUGUUCCAUCCCGACUCAGGUAUGGAAGAGAGAAG
Molecule: long non-coding RNA, 34293 nt
Organism: Panthera uncia (snow leopard)
Lineage: Eukaryota; Metazoa; Chordata; Mammalia; Carnivora; Felidae
Exons: 2
Source: RefSeq, a predicted model, not a curated record